UACAGAGGUGGCAAGCGUUGUUCGGAAUUACUGGGCGUAAAGGGCGCGUAGGCGGUCUUCUAAGUCUUGUGUGAAAUCCCUCGGCUCAACUGAGGAACUGCACGGGAUACUGGAAGACUUGAGUUCGGGAGAGGGAAGCGGAAUUCCGGGUGUAGCGGUGAAAUGCGUAGAUAUCCGGAGGAACACCGGUGGCGAAGGCGGCUUCCUGGACCGAUCACUGACGCUGAGGCGCGAAAGCUAGGGGAGCAAACGGG
Molecule: ribosomal RNA, 254 nt
Filed under: uncultured bacterium
Lineage: Bacteria
Description: partial 16S ribosomal RNA
Rfam family: Bacterial small subunit ribosomal RNA
Source: RNAcentral